Molecule: ribosomal RNA, 253 nt
Filed under: uncultured bacterium
Lineage: Bacteria
Description: partial 16S ribosomal RNA
Rfam family: Bacterial small subunit ribosomal RNA
Source: RNAcentral
UACGUAGGGGGCAAGCGUUGUCCGGAAUUAUUGGGCGUAAAGGGCGCGUAGGCGGCGUGGUAAGUCACUUGUGAAAUCUCCGAGCUUAACUCGGAACUGCCAAGUGAUACUGCUGUGCUAGAGUGCAGAAGGGGCAACCGGAAUUCUUGGUGUAGCGGUGAAAUGCGUAGAUAUCAAGAGGAACACCUGAGGUGAAGACGGGUUGCUGGGCUGACACUGACGCUGAGGCGCGAAAGCUAGGGUAGCAAACGGG